UCUCCCAUCCAAGCACUAACCAGGUCCAGCCCUGCUUAUCUUCCAAGAUCAGAUGAGACUGGGCACAUUCAGGGUGGUAUGGCCAUAGAC
RNAcentral lists this small RNA (90 nucleotides) under Cricetulus griseus (Chinese hamster). Lineage: Eukaryota; Metazoa; Chordata; Mammalia; Rodentia; Cricetidae. The record is from RNAcentral.